GACACCGAGUGCGAGGGCAUAGAGCCCUCGCUUUUGUGCAUCGUAAGGUGGUACACGAAUAAGGGCUGGGCAAGACCGGUGCCAGCCGCCGCGGUAACACCGGCAGCCCGAGUGAUGGCCGCUUUUAUUGGGCCUAAAGCGUCCGUAGCCGGCCGUUCAGGUCCGUCGGGAAAUCCACUGGCUCAACCAGUGGGCGUCCGGCGGAAACCGAUCGGCUUGGGACAGGGAGACCAGAGGGGUACGUCCGGGGUAGGAGUGAAAUCCUGUAAUCCUGGACGGACCACCGGUGGCGAAAGCGCCUCUGGAGAACUGAUCCGACGGUGAGGGACGAAAGCUGGGGUCUCGAACCGGAUUAGAUACCCGGGUAGUCCCAGCUGUAAACAAUGCUCGCAAAGGUGUGUCGCAGGCUACGAGCCUGCGAUGUGCCGUAGGGAAGCCGAGAAGCGAGC
Molecule: ribosomal RNA, 449 nt
Filed under: uncultured haloarchaeon
Lineage: Archaea; Methanobacteriati; Methanobacteriota; Halobacteria; Halobacteriales; Halobacteriaceae
Description: bacterial SSU rRNA
Rfam family: Archaeal small subunit ribosomal RNA
Source: RNAcentral